UGUGAACUCGAAGAGUAGGGCGGGACACGUGGUAUCCUGUCUGAAUAUGGGGGGACCAUCCUCCAAGGCUAAAUACUCCUGACUGACCGAUAGUGAACCAGUACCGUGAGGGAAAGGCGAAAAGAACCCCGGCGAGGGGAGUGAAAAAGAACCUGAAACCGUGUACGUACAAGCAGUGGGAGCACCUUCGUGGUGUGACUGCGUACCUUUUGUAUAAUGGGUCAGCGACUUAUAUUCUGUAGCAAGGUUAACCGUAUAGGGGAGCCGAAGGGAAACCGAGUCUUAACUGGGCGUUAAGUUGCAGGGUAUAGACCCGAAACCCGGUGAUCUAGCCAUGGGCAGGUUGAAGGUUGGGUAACACUAACUGGAGGACCGAACCGACUAAUGUUGAAAAAUUAGCGGAUGACUUGUGGCUGGGGGUGAAAGGCCAAUCAAACCGGGAGAUAGCUGGUUCUCCCCGAAAGCUAUUUAGGUAGCGCCUCGUGAACUCAUCUUCGGGGGUAGAGCACUGUUUCGGCUAGGGGGCCAUCCCGGCUUACCAACCCGAUGCAAACUACGAAUACCGAAGAAUGUUAUCACGGGAGACACACGGCGGGUGCUAACGUCCGUCGUGAAGAGGGAAACAACCCAGACCGCCAGCUAAGGUCCCAAAGUCAUGGUUAAGUGGGAAACGAUGUGGGAAGGCACAGACAGCCAGGAUGUUGGCUUAGAAGCAGCCAUCAUUUAAAGAAAGCGUAAUAGCUCACUGGUCGAGUCGGCCUGCGCGGAAGAUGUAACGGGGCUAAACCAUGCACCGAAGCUGCGGCAGCGACACUAUGUGUUGUUGGGUAGGGGAGCGUUCUGUAAGCCGUUGAAGGUGUGCUGUGAGGCAUGCUGGAGGUAUCAGAAGUGCGAAUGCUGACAUAAGUAACGAUAAAGCGGGUGAAAAGCCCGCUCGCCGGAAGACCAAGGGUUCCUGUCCAACGUUAAUCGGGGCAGGGUGAGUCGACCCCUAAGGCGAGGCCGAAAGGCGUAGUCGAUGGGAAACAGGUUAAUAUUCCUGUACUUGGUGUUACUGCGAAGGGGGGACGGAGAAGGCUAUGUUAGCCGGGCGACGGUUGUCCCGGUUUAAGCAUGUAGGCGGAGGUUCCAGGUAAAUCCGGUACCUUAUUAACGCUGAGGUGUGAUGACGAGGCACUACGGUGCUGAAGUAACAAAUGCCCUGCUUCCAGGAAAAGCCUCUAAGCAUCAGGUAACAUCAAAUCGUACCCCAAACCGACACAGGUGGUCAGGUAGAGAAUACCAAGGCGCUUGAGAGAACUCGGGUGAAGGAACUAGGCAAAAUGGUGCCGUAACUUCGGGAGAAGGCACGCUGAUAUGUAGGUGAAGCCCCUGCGGGUGGAGCUGAAAUCAGUCGAAGAUACCAGCUGGCUGCAACUGUUUAUUAAAAACACAGCACUGUGCAAACACGAAAGUGGACGUAUACGGUGUGACGCCUGCCCGGUGCCGGAAGGUUAAUUGAUGGGGUUAGCGGCAACGCGAAGCUCUUGAUCGAAGCCCCGGUAAACGGCGGCCGUAACUAUAACGGUCCUAAGGUAGCGAAAUUCCUUGUCGGGUAAGUUCCGACCUGCACGAAUGGCGUAAUGAUGGCCAGGCUGUCUCCACCCGAGACUCAGUGAAAUUGAACUCGCUGUGAAGAUGCAGUGUACCCGCGGCAAGACGGAAAGACCCCGUGAACCUUUACUAUAGCUUGACACUGAACACUGGUCCUUGAUGUGUAGGAUAGGUGGGAGGCUUUGAAGCGUGGACGCCAGUCUGCGUGGAGCCGUCCUUGAAAUACCACCCUUUAAUGGCUGGUGUUCUAACGUAGACCCGUAAUCCGGGUUGCGGACAGUGUCUGGUGGGUAGUUUGACUGGGGCGGUCUCCUCCCAAAGAGUAACGGAGGAGCACGAAGGUUAGCUAAUCCUGGUCGGACAUCAGGAGGUUAGUGCAAUGGCAUAAGCUAGCUUGACUGCGAGAGUGACGGCUCGAGCAGGUGCGAAAGCAGGUCAUAGUGAUCCGGUGGUUCUGAAUGGAAGGGCCAUCGCUCAACGGAUAAAAGGUACUCCGGGGAUAACAGGCUGAUACCGCCCAAGAGUUCAUAUCGACGGCGGUGUUUGGCACCUCGAUGUCGGCUCAUCACAUCCUGGGGCUGAAGUAGGUCCCAAGGGUAUGGCUGUUCGCCAUUUAAAGUGGUACGCGAGCUGGGUUUAGAACGUCGUGAGACAGUUCGGUCCCUAUCUGCCGUGGGCGCUGGAGAAUUGAGGGGGGCUGCUCCUAGUACGAGAGGACCGGAGUGGACGCAUCACUGGUGUUCGGGUUGUCAUGCCAAUGGCACUGCCCGGUAGCUAAAUGCGGAAAAGAUAAGUGCUGAAAGCAUCUAAGCACGAAACUUGCCCCGAGAUGAGUUCUCCCUGAGACUUUAAGUCUCCUGAAGGAACGUUGAAGACGACGACGUUGAUAGGUCGGGUGUGUAAGCGCAGCGAUGCGUUGAGCUAACCGAUACUAAUGAACCGUGAGGCUUAACCUU
This 2549-nucleotide ribosomal RNA is filed under the name Enterobacter pseudoroggenkampii. RNAcentral's name for it is "partial 23S ribosomal RNA". It matches the Rfam family "Bacterial large subunit ribosomal RNA", at positions 398 to 2925 of the family's 2925-position model. The record is from RNAcentral. Lineage: Bacteria; Pseudomonadati; Pseudomonadota; Gammaproteobacteria; Enterobacterales; Enterobacteriaceae.